AACGCUGACUGGCCGUGUCUUAAUUCAUGCAAGUAACCGCGGGGGAAAGGUAGCGUCGCGUACCUUACCUAUUUGCGGGACGGGUGAGUAAUGCUCUACGUAGAUCUGCCUAUUAGUGGGGGUACAACAUUUCUAAAGGAAUGCUAAUACUCGUAUACGCACCUACGGGGGAAAGCAGGGGACCUUCGGGCCUUGCGCUAAUAGAUGAGCCUAAGUCGGAUUAGCUAGUUGGUGGGGUAAAGGCCUACCAAGGCGACGAUCUGUAGCGGGUCUGAGAGGAUGAUCCGCCACACUGGGACUGAGACACGGCCCAUACUCCUACGGGAGGCAGCAGUGGGGAAUAUUGGACAAUGGGGGGAACCCUGAUCCAGCCAUGCCGCGUGUGUGAAGAAGGCCUUUUGGUUGUAAAGCACUUUAAGCGAGGAGGAGGCUACCUAGAUUAAUACUCUAGGAUAGUGGACGUUACUCGCAGAAUAAGCACCGGUUAACUCUGUGCCAGCAGCCGCGGUCAUACAGAGGGUGCAAGCGUUAAUCGGAUUUACUGGGCGUAAAGCGUGCGUAGGUGGCCAAUUAAGUCAAAUGUGAAAUCCCCGAGCUUAACUCGGGAAUUGCAUUCGAUACUGGUUGGCUAAAGUAUGGGACAGGAUGGUAGAAUUCCAAGUGUAGCGGUCAAAUGCGUAGAGAUAUGGAGGAAUACCUAUGGCGAA
Molecule: ribosomal RNA, 707 nt
Filed under: Acinetobacter sp. PF11
Lineage: Bacteria; Pseudomonadati; Pseudomonadota; Gammaproteobacteria; Moraxellales; Moraxellaceae
Description: bacterial SSU rRNA
Rfam family: Bacterial small subunit ribosomal RNA
Source: RNAcentral